Molecule: ribosomal RNA, 351 nt
Filed under: uncultured bacterium
Lineage: Bacteria
Description: bacterial SSU rRNA
Rfam family: Bacterial small subunit ribosomal RNA
Source: RNAcentral
AGAGUUUGAUCAUGGCUCAGAGUGAACGCUGGCGGUAGGCCUAACACAUGCAAGUCGAACGGCAGCACAGUAAGAGCUUGCUCUUAUGGGUGGCGAGUGGCGGACGGGUGAGGAAUACAUCGGAAUCUACCUUUUCGUGGGGGAUAACGUAGGGAAACUUACGCUAAUACCGCAUACGACCUUCGGGUGAAAGCAGGGGACCUUCGGGCCUUGCGCGGAUAGAUGAGCCGAUGUCGGAUUAGCUAGUUGGCGGGGUAAAGGCCCUCCAACGCGACGCUCCGUAGCUCGUGUGUGCGGAUUAUCAGCCCCUCGUUUUCCGAGACACGGUCCAGACUCCUGACUGCGGACUCC